This 728-nucleotide ribosomal RNA is filed under the name Salmonella enterica subsp. enterica. RNAcentral describes it as "partial 23S ribosomal RNA". It matches the Rfam family "Bacterial large subunit ribosomal RNA", at positions 2208 to 2925 of the family's 2925-position model. RNAcentral also lists the same sequence under 1 other name. The record is from RNAcentral. Lineage: Bacteria; Pseudomonadati; Pseudomonadota; Gammaproteobacteria; Enterobacterales; Enterobacteriaceae.
UAAUGUUUGAUGUUCUAACGUGGACCCGUGAUCCGGGUUGCGGACAGUGUCUGGUGGGUAGUUUGACUGGGGCGGUCUCCUCCUAAAGAGUAACGGAGGAGCACGAAGGUUGGCUAAUCCUGGUCGGACAUCAGGAGGUUAGUGCAAUGGCAUAAGCCAGCUUGACUGCGAGCGUGACGGCGCGAGCAGGUGCGAAAGCAGGUCAUAGUGAUCCGGUGGUUCUGAAUGGAAGGGCCAUCGCUCAACGGAUAAAAGGUACUCCGGGGAUAACAGGCUGAUACCGCCCAAGAGUUCAUAUCGACGGCGGUGUUUGGCACCUCGAUGUCGGCUCAUCACAUCCUGGGGCUGAAGUAGGUCCCAAGGGUAUGGCUGUUCGCCAUUUAAAGUGGUACGCGAGCUGGGUUUAGAACGUCGUGAGACAGUUCGGUCCCUAUCUGCCGUGGGCGCUGGAGAACUGAGGGGGGCUGCUCCUAGUACGAGAGGACCGGAGUGGACGCAUCACUGGUGUUCGGGUUGUCAUGCCAAUGGCACUGCCCGGUAGCUAAAUGCGGAAGAGAUAAGUGCUGAAAGCAUCUAAGCACGAAACUUGCCCCGAGAUGAGUUCUCCCUGAGACUUUAGGUCUCCUGAAGGAACGUUGAAGACGACGACGUUGAUAGGCCGGGUGUGUAAGCGCAGCGAUGCGUUGAGCUAACCGGUACUAAUGAACCGUGAGGCUUAACCUUACAAC